RNAcentral lists this ribosomal RNA (497 nucleotides) under uncultured bacterium. Its description in RNAcentral is "partial 16S ribosomal RNA". It matches the Rfam family "Bacterial small subunit ribosomal RNA", at positions 28 to 507 of the family's 1533-position model. The record is from RNAcentral.
GACGAACGCUGGCGGCGUGCCUAAUACAUGCAAGUCGAACGCUGAAGAGAGGAGCUUGCUCUUCUUGGAUGAGUUGCGAACGGGUGAGUAACGCGUAGGUAACCUGCCUUGUAGCGGGGGAUAACUAUUGGAAACGAUAGCUAAUACCGCAUAACAAUGGAUGACACAUGUCAUUUAUUUGAAAGGGGCAAUUGCUCCACUACAAGAUGGACCUGCGUUGUAUUAGCUAGUAGGUGAGGUAAUGGCUCACCUAGGCGACGAUACAUAGCCGACCUGAGAGGGUGAUCGGCCACACUGGGACUGAGACACGGCCCAGACUCCUACGGGAGGCAGCAGUAGGGAAGCUUCGGCAAUGGGGGCAACCCUGACCGAGCAACGCCGCGGGAGUGAAGAAGGUUUUCGGAUCGUAAAGCUCUGUUGUAAGUCAAGAACGGGUGUGAGAGUGGAAAGUUCACACUGUGACGGUAGCUUACCAGAAAGGGACGGCUAACUACGUG